Molecule: long non-coding RNA, 819 nt
Organism: Oncorhynchus keta (chum salmon)
Lineage: Eukaryota; Metazoa; Chordata; Actinopteri; Salmoniformes; Salmonidae
Exons: 3
Source: RefSeq, a predicted model, not a curated record
GUCAUAUGAAGAGAAAAUAUAGAUAAAACGUAUCGGUGCUCAUCGGCCAUAAACAUUACACAACAAUUUGGAGAUCGCAAAUUCAACAAUGAGUGGUUUGUAAGGAAUCGGUGACAGUGGCUUACUGCAAGCAUUGCACCAGGGAAUUCGGGAAUAAACAGCUCAAACUGGGAAAAUAUGUUUUGAACGGUUAUUUAACUCGGAAUUGUAAAUCCGGCAUCUUUCUCUUUGAUUACAAAUUUUGCCCACGAAGGACCGCCGCGCCACUUUCCUGUUAAAUAAAGCACAUCACAGUCCAAAAAUGUCUUAUGCUGCUUCAUCAAUUAUGUAGGAUGCCAGAGAUAUGUAUCAUGUAGCUAAAAAGUAAUACUAAGUGUAUGUUGUGUAGUAAGCUGUUAGUAGCCCAUGUGCCUCACCCUAAUAACUUGGUCUAUUUUCACCAACGCGGUAUUGUAAACAUCGUUCCUGGCAGGCUGCAUCUUUGUUGCAUGAUGAGGUCAAUCUGAGGGACAAGAACUUCCUAUUUUUACAUGGAACUGCAGAUGCACAUGUCCACAUCCAGCACACUGCCGAGCUAAUAGAUUGUCUGGUGGCAGCCAAGGCAAACUACUCUUUGCAGGUGUGAGAAUUUUGCAUGAGGAAAAUUUGAAAAGGCAUGUAGUGGAGAGGGAAAGUAUGCUCUGAAAUGUCUCUUUUGCAUACUUAUAUUUAAAUGAUGGAUAUUGCAGAACCUGAUCAUUUCAAAGAUCCUUAAAGAAUGUUUUCUUGUUUCUGAAGUGAAUUUGAUAUUGAAUUACAUAUUUAUUUGUUUGUUUACUG